GGCGGCAGCGCCUAACACAUGCAAGCUCCGAGCGGCAGCACAAGUGAGUUUACUCAUGAGGUGGCGAGCGGCGGACGGGUGAGUAAUGCCUAGGGAUCUGCCCAGUCGAGGGGGAUAACAGUUGGAAACGACUGCUAAUACCGCAUACGCCCUACGGGGGAAAGAGGGGGACUUUCGGGCCUCUCGCGAUUGGAUGAACCUAGGUGGGAUUAGCUAGUUGGUGAGGUAAUGGCUCACCAAGGCGACGAUCCCUAGCUGUUCUGAGAGGAUGAUCAGCCACACUGGGACUGAGACACGGCCCAGACUCCUACGGGAGGCAGCAGUGGGGAAUAUUGCACAAUGGGGGAAACCCUGAUGCAGCCAUGCCGCGUGUGUGAAGAAGGCCUUCGGGUUGUAAAGCACUUUCAGUAGGGAGGAAAGGGUAAGUCCUAAUACGGCUUAUCUGUGACGUUACCUACAGAAGAAGGACCGGCUAACUCCGUGCCAGCAGCCGCGGUAAUACGGAGGGUCCGAGCGUUAAUCGGAAUUACUGGGCGUAAAGCGUGCGCAGGCGGUUUGUUAAGCGAGAUGUGAAAGCCCUGGGCUCAACCUAGGAAUAGCAUUUCGAACUGACAAACUAGAGUCUUGUAGAGGGGGGUAGAAUUCC
RNAcentral lists this ribosomal RNA (646 nucleotides) under Shewanella oneidensis. RNAcentral describes it as "bacterial SSU rRNA". It matches the Rfam family "Bacterial small subunit ribosomal RNA", at positions 38 to 670 of the family's 1533-position model. The record is from RNAcentral. Lineage: Bacteria; Pseudomonadati; Pseudomonadota; Gammaproteobacteria; Alteromonadales; Shewanellaceae.